This 72-nucleotide transfer RNA is filed under the name Parajulis poecilepterus. Its description in RNAcentral is "tRNA-Gly". It matches the Rfam family "tRNA". Rfam says of the family: Transfer RNA (tRNA) molecules are approximately 80 nucleotides in length. Their secondary structure includes four short double-helical elements and three loops (D, anti-codon, and T loops). Further hydrogen bonds mediate the characteristic L-shaped molecular structure. tRNAs have two regions of fundamental functional importance: the anti-codon, which is responsible for specific mRNA codon recognition, and the 3' end, to which the tRNAs corresponding amino acid is attached (by aminoacyl-tRNA synthetases). tRNAs cope with the degeneracy of the genetic code in two manners: having more than one tRNA (with a specific anti-codon) for a particular amino acid; and 'wobble' base-pairing, i.e. permitting non-standard base-pairing at the 3rd anti-codon position. Lineage: Eukaryota; Metazoa; Chordata; Actinopteri; Labriformes; Labridae. The record is from RNAcentral.
GCCUUUCUAGUACCAACGUUAGUACGAGUGGCUUCCACCCAUUGAGUCUUGGUUCAAGUCCAAGGAAAGGUA